CUUAGUACUCUUACUGAGUGGAAAGUGGCGUCAUCUGUUAACAAAAAAAAAAAAAUGUUUUUAUCGCCUACAUCCGAUUUUGAUGGGAAUGGGAGCGGUUCUCGCUAAUGGUGCCCGAAAAUUUUGUCAGAACUAAAUUGUACCUAUGGUAUGGUUACGAAAUACCAGUGAUAUACGGUAAUGUAUAUAUCACUGGUAUAAUUCGUAUAAGUAAUUAAUGCCGUAUUUUGUACCGUACCGCCACCGACAUAAAUUUUUGAUAUCGAAACAUAAAACUGAUAUUGAUGAUACACUCAGCAUAGUAAGAUAUGGAAAUGAUAACCGAUUAUGAAGACUAUUCUUGGAUAAUAAUAACGGUCUAUAUCCAGAAACUAAAGUUUUUAAUGGUAAAAACGUAUUCGAUGUCGAUGAUACUUGUUAGAACUGAUUCUGGCCCACACAUCAAAGUCAGAAAUGAUUUUAUGAUUCAAAAAUGUAAUUGUUGGAUACAGUAAACUCCCGUACACGUGGAAGAUACGUUCCGCAUUAUAGGAAAUCGCCUAUUAUUUAUAUUAUUUAUUUAUAUCGAAUACUAGUCGCAGUUUUUUCAUCGCGUUAUAUGACAGUUUUACUGUGUGUGUUUAUUAGUUCGAUUUAAAGCUAAUAUAAGAUAUAUAUGGAUAAAGGAAAAUGGACUUCCGCUAGUGUCGGGUUUCUCUAUAAUAAUGUGUAUGUGACGGUAUCCAAUGAAUAAGAUUAAUACGAUUAACAGAUUGGAUUAAAAUGAACAGGCAAUCUUCUAUCCGUAAAAAUGCUAAAAUCGAAAGUAUUGGGCCCAAUUCGAUUACCUGUACAUUCUCAAUUUGGAGGACAGUUUUAUCUGUACCUGAUGGGUCGAAAUCCAUGAUUAUAAUUUUUAAAAUAACUAAAACAGCUAAUCUUAAGCAUAAUAAAACAGCUAAUCUUGGUCACGCGCUAAUCAUCGAACGAGACGAAACCAUAAGAUACUGAAAUAUAUGAUGGUUUCGAUACUAAAACGAAUAGAGAAACACCCCAACAGAUUAGACCUGGCGCCAGCUAUCAAAUUCUGUGGCCAGAUUAUCACAUGACGCGAUAUUUUAUUUAAAGUUAUUAUAAAACACAUAAUCACGCGCAUAACAUUGAAUCUUUGGCAUUACGCAUUAAUGUAGCACUAGAGUCGGCCGGAUUGGCUGCAUGGAAACGCUUCGGCUUUCCACUCUGGAGGACCCGGGUUCGAGUCUCGGC
This 1245-nucleotide long non-coding RNA is filed under the name Androctonus crassicauda. The record is from RNAcentral. Lineage: Eukaryota; Metazoa; Arthropoda; Arachnida; Scorpiones; Buthidae.